Vespa velutina is the source of this 2193-nucleotide long non-coding RNA. RefSeq lists it as uncharacterized. The record is from RefSeq and is a predicted model, not a curated record. The transcript is spliced from 5 exons. Lineage: Eukaryota; Metazoa; Arthropoda; Insecta; Hymenoptera; Vespidae.
GUGUGUGAAGUGCAACGCAUAUUUUUUGCUUUUUUUUGUUUUUCUUUUUUUUUUCUUCUUUUUGUUCGAAGUUCGGUGAAAAAUAAAAUGUUUCUUUUUUCUUUUCUUUUUUUUUUUUUUUUUUUUUUUUUUUUAAUCUUAUAUUCGAUAUAAUACGAUAGGUAGUACCUAUAUAUUUCUCGAAGCUUAAGCAUGCUCGUUUCGAAGAAUUCGACACCACGUGGAGCGCCUACGUCAGGCAUAUAAUUCACGUCACCCCUGUCCCCGUACGUAGGGUAUCGCUUUAUUCAACAUUUCCGGUUGUUUUCGGGAACGUUGCUUCCGUGACGUUAGAUCCAUAACUUUAAUUUCUAACAGGCGUUGAUAGAGAAAUAGAGGGACAGACAGGCAGAUGGAUAGAUAGACAGAUAGAGAUAGAUAGAGAGAUAGAUAGAUAGAUAGACAUAUAUAUAUAUAUAUAUAUAUAUAUAUAGAGAGAGAGAGAGAGAAAACACAUCCAGUACUUUCUCUGAUACGAAAAUUGCUUAUUCGAAUAAAAUAUUCAAUCUUAAAUUUCAUUCAAAUUCUUAAAGUCUAUAAAAAUGGAAAUCUAACGAAAGAAUAAUCUCUAAUAUCGUUGAGAAUCCAAUUAAUAAAUAUGCAAAUUACAUUUAAUUAAUUUUCAAACUUGUUAAUCUUAAUAACAUGCCGUAACAAUCGGAGGAAAGCGAGUUCUAAAUGAAUAAACGGAGUUAUCGCUAUCCCGCAAGGUUCUUUUUGUAUUCCUUAAUUGCUGUCACUCUUCGUUGCAUGGAUAACGUUAAUUCAAUUCACAAUUAACAAUGCUGUAUACCCUCCCCUCCGCCCCUCUCUCUUUCUCUUUCUCUCUUUUUCAUCAAUAGCCAAAGUUCAUCCAUUAUCACGUGUAUGUUGUUGUUGUUUUCUCCAAUUUCGUGUUUUGUUCAAUACAAUGGAAUGAAGGGUUAAUCGCCAUUGUUCAAACAUGCGAUAGGGUCGUAGACGCUUUUGACGAAGAAUUCUGCCUCUCUCUCUCUCUCUCUCCCUCUCUCUCUCUCUCUCUCUCUCUCUCUCUCUCUCUCUUCUCUGUGUCCAAAUGGACUUCCAUCGACGCAGUCUCAGGAGAUUAUGGAUUCGAAUCACGAGUUAAUUCAGGCUGAUUCAGCGAACCCGAUAUGCGGGUGGUAGUAUGUAUACUACUGUUUUCGUAAGAAUCUGAUCUCUUAUUAGUGGAUUAUAAAGGUUACAGUUACACGAAACGUUUCACGUUCGUGCUCGGCGUUUCUACCGUGAAAGAAAGAAAAAGAAAAAGAGAAAAAAAAAAGAAAAAAAAAAAAAGAAAGAAAGAAAGAAAAAUGAGGAAAGGUUUUGUCUGGGAGUCGUAUAUCAAUACUGGCUCGCUUUAUUAUUUCACAUGGAUUUUUCCAUUUACAUUUACAAUUAACGAAUAGUGCGGUAUAAUCAAAUUAUUUUGAUAGACGCAAGAGAAGAGAGCGGAGUUACGAGUCAAGGCCGGCUAUACAGGUUGCUCGGUCAUGAGAAUAGAAACAUGCGAAUGCCUGGUUCCAACAGACCUAUCCUGUAAAAAUGACUUCGUUCGAGAAAUUUUAAUGAUCGGAGCAACGAGAAGGACCGUAGAUCUUAAAAGAAAACUUUCUCGGAAUAAUUUUGACCGAGAAGAUCGAUGAACCUUUCCGUGACUGGUCGACACUGAAAACGACGUUGUUUGCACGUUAAAAUGCGAGACAGGUGGCAACGUACAUCCGACGAAUGGAGGCCAAACUUAAAUGUGGACAUUAUGAUGGACAGGAGAAUAUCUCGUUAGUAGCAGACCAAAGUAAACGAGAUUGUUUAUGACUCGUAAGAAUAAUAAAUGUAACAUGGAGGGUGUGGAACGAAGAUCAAAGAAAAUGACGAAAUAACUUCAUCACGACGAAAUAAACGACAACCAGAGCCUGGUACAACUGCAGAGAUAUUUCAAAGGACAACGAGUUUUGCAAUGUGAAAUAUACUGAGAAAAAAAGAAAGAAAAAAGAAGAAAGAGAAAUAAAGGGAUAAAGAAAAAAGAAGGAAAAUGUACAACAACAGACGGCGGCGGGGGUCUCCCUCGACAUGAUCAAAUAUUAACAAUAUGCAGCAGCUUCGCAUUGUAGUAAUGCGCGAAAGGUAAGAACAUGAACGCGAGAAUAUAAUGUC